This 548-nucleotide unclassified non-coding RNA is filed under the name Hevea brasiliensis (rubber tree). The record is from RNAcentral. Lineage: Eukaryota; Viridiplantae; Streptophyta; Magnoliopsida; Malpighiales; Euphorbiaceae.
ACAACCAGUUCCAUUUCGAUACAAGUUCUUAAACUUGAUGAAAAUGAGAAGUAAGAACUGCAGUGGAUAAGUAUUGAUUAUAGCUCAAUCUACAUAGACAUAGACUAAAAAAAAGAUCUUGGUCAAUUGAAUGUUUGAUGUGAAAUGAGCAUUCUAUGCUACAACAGGCACUUCUACAACCACCAGCCAUGCUUGAUCUUGUAAAAACUGUGCAAGCAUACUUUGACUGCAAAAAUUCUUGCGCACUAGUGGAAAUGUGAAGCUUCCCAUGUCUGAAAUCAAUGAAAGUUGCACUGUUGCAAUAAAGGAUGAGAAUAAUCUACAUACUUCUCCCAAAGAGGCUUGUACUUUUCCAUCCCAAUUUUCAGCCAUGGCUUUGAGUUCCCAUUGAAGUGCAACACUGCCCCCUUCUCUAUCAAGUGAUGAUCGACAUUUGUGUAUCCCAAUCCCAACACAUGCCAUGAGGGAUCUAACGGUUGUGUCAAACCAUAGAAGGUCAGAAGUCCAGGUGGUAGAGUCCCAAGUUUCCAAAGUGUCCUGUCUACAUU